Molecule: non-coding RNA, 26 nt
Filed under: Rattus norvegicus (Norway rat)
Lineage: Eukaryota; Metazoa; Chordata; Mammalia; Rodentia; Muridae
Source: RNAcentral
UUGGACAGAGCAAUGCAAUUUGCUGC